This is a long non-coding RNA of Scylla paramamosain (green mud crab), 405 nucleotides long. RefSeq lists it as uncharacterized. Lineage: Eukaryota; Metazoa; Arthropoda; Malacostraca; Decapoda; Portunidae. The transcript has 3 exons. The record is from RefSeq and is a predicted model, not a curated record.
UGGCAGGUAAGGAAGGACCCAGAUCUCUGAGGCUCAUUUCUCUUCCACUCAGGUGUGAUUCAAUUAAAAGGCGCCAGGUGGGGAGAGAGGAAGAGGUGCAGGGAAGGAAGGCAAGAAGGAAAGGGCGAGCACGACGCUACACUCUCCACUACCUCGACCACCACCGAGUGUCAACAAUGGCUAGUUACAAUGGGACUAAGAAGCUGGAGCCGCAGAGGACCAUGGGGGACCACAGGGGAACAUAGGUGGCCGCUUUCUCUGGUCUGCUAUAGAGAGAGAGAGAGAGAGAGAGAGAGAGAGCACACACCCCAUGCCCUUCCUCCUCACAAGGCAACACUCCCCACCACAAAAAAGCGGCAAAUGUAACCAUCGCCUUUCUUAAUAAUAAUAACAAUACCCGCUUCA